CCUACGGGAGGCAGCAGUGAGGAAUAUUGGUCAAUGGGCGGAAGCCUGAACCAGCCAAGUAGCGUGCGGGAUGAAGGCCCUACGGGUCGUAAACCGCUUUUGCACGGGGAUAACACCCUCCACUUGUGGAGGUCUGCAGGUACCGUGCGAAUAAGGGCCGGCUAAUUCCGUGCCAGCAGCCGCGGUAAUACGGAAGGACCGAGCGUUAUCCGGAUUCAUUGGGCUUAAAGGGAGCGGAGGCGGGCGUUCAAGUCAGCUGUAAAAGCGCGCGGCUCAACCGCGCCCCGCAGUUGAAACUGGACGCCUUGAGGUCACAACAGGCAGGCGGAAUUCGUGGUGUAGCGGUGAAAUGCAUAGAUAUCACGAGGAACCCCGAUUGCGAAGGCAGCCUGCCGGGGUGCGACUGACGCUGAGGCUCGAAGGUGCGGGUAUCAAACAGGAUUAGAUACCCUAGUAGUC
RNAcentral lists this ribosomal RNA (459 nucleotides) under uncultured bacterium. Its description in RNAcentral is "partial 16S ribosomal RNA". It matches the Rfam family "Bacterial small subunit ribosomal RNA", at positions 338 to 795 of the family's 1533-position model. The record is from RNAcentral.